Lotus japonicus is the source of this 607-nucleotide long non-coding RNA. RefSeq lists it as uncharacterized. Lineage: Eukaryota; Viridiplantae; Streptophyta; Magnoliopsida; Fabales; Fabaceae. The record is from RefSeq and is a predicted model, not a curated record. The transcript is spliced from 2 exons.
UGUGAUUGGUGGAGUGGCUUCUUCUUCCACAAGAGAGAAAAGGGGUUGAAAAGGGCACUGUACCAGCAACAAAUUUAUAUUCAUGAAUGGCCUACAAGGGAGUUUAAAAUGUCUAAAAAUGUGAAGUGAAAUUGAAAAAUUGUUCACCCUUGUCUAAGCAAAGCCUAGUGGUGGUUUCUUUCCUCUUUAUCUCUCCCCUACCCUCUAGGCUAUAGUUAUUUCAAUCCACUUUACUUCAUUUGCAUGAGCCACACCCAAUUCAACACAUGGGGUGGCUGCAAUCCCUCUUCUCUCCACUGAAGAAGCUUUGGUUCAGAUUGAAUUCUACUCAGAAGAAGAGAAGAGGGCUUUACAUUCUGUAUGAAGAUGUCAAGUCUUGCCCCUAUGAAGAUGUUCAUGUCCUCUGGUCUAUACUAGUGGAAUCACAUUCAACUUCUUUACCAUCCAAACAUUGAGGGCCAUGGGCACACUACAGGAUUGAGAAGAAGAGGAUUGUAAUGUAAAUAUAUAAAAUAUUUAUAAUGUCCAUACCAGAGUGUUUUAUUUUCUUUUGACUUUUGUAGCACCAGCAAACAUAGAAUGAAUCUCAAAUUUUGUUUUCAAAGCA